UUAGGAAGCAGGGCGAUUACCCGCCUCUUAAGCCGUAAGGCAGUGAGGGCGGGAGGAAAGUCCAGGCAGCAGGAAGCAGGGUGGUCGCCGCAAGGCGACAGGAGGUGCCAGACGGUACCUCCCUAGUACAGAGCCACAGAGACUAUGUCGACCCCAGUACUUAAAAUGUACCGGGAUACGAGUGAAAAGGGGCAAUCCUCCCCGCUGCAACCUCCGAAUGGUACGUUAAUACCGGCUUCCGGGAGUACCGAAGUUUGAGGGCAUUAGACAGAUUAUCGCCGAGAAACAGAACCUGGCUUACUAGUUUCCUAAAGCA
RNAcentral lists this RNase P RNA (316 nucleotides) under bacterium. RNAcentral's name for it is "RNase P RNA component class A". It matches the Rfam family "Bacterial RNase P class A". Rfam says of the family: Ribonuclease P (RNase P) is a ubiquitous endoribonuclease, found in archaea, bacteria and eukarya as well as chloroplasts and mitochondria. Its best characterised activity is the generation of mature 5'-ends of tRNAs by cleaving the 5'-leader elements of precursor-tRNAs. Cellular RNase Ps are ribonucleoproteins. The record is from RNAcentral.